Long non-coding RNA from Conger conger (European conger), 475 nucleotides. RefSeq lists it as uncharacterized. NCBI's taxonomy places the organism in Eukaryota, Metazoa, Chordata, Actinopteri, Anguilliformes, Congridae. The record is from RefSeq and is a predicted model, not a curated record. The transcript has 3 exons.
CUCUAAGAACCCUAUCCAACAAUUACAUGUGCCUCAGGAUUGUUUGCAGUCUACGCAUUGCAGAUGUUUUCAAAGUACCACGUACUGUAUGAACAUUAAUAUCAAUACAAAGCUAAGAAGACAUCCCCCAGGAAGCAGAUAGUGCUAAGUGAACCGGGUCGACCACUGCACAAAGAAGUAAUCCGAGAGAUAGUAGAGGAUCUUUCCGGAGAGGGAGAGGGUCUGGACUCGGCAGAUGCUCUCCACGUAGACGAUGAGGACCUUCUUCAUCCCCGCGGCCCCCAGGAGCAGCCCUGCCACGCAUAGGGGGACACACGUCCCUGGGCCGUUGCACAGCACCUGAAACAACAACACGGAGCCGUGAACACAGGCGUGUUUGGACAGCGCGGAGGUCACUGCGGCUCACGCAUCCCGGAACGAGGGAGACGGGCAGGGCCUCGCCGAUUCCACAAACGAAACGCACAGGCCCUAGAUA